GCGACCCCGUUCUGCCUCCCGUAUUCGGAUCCAAAACCCUAGGCGACGCCGGCAGCCGGAUCCCAUGUUCCGCUCGCCCCGUCAAGCCGUCGCUCCUCCACCACGCUUACCCGGCGUUCCGCUCGCCCCGUCAAGUCGUCGCUCCUCCACCACGCUUACCCGUCCCACGCCGCGUCGGCCUCCUCGCCCGCCCUCCCGUUCCCCCGGGGACCGAAGCUUUCCAGGGGCCUCGAUGUGCCCAACCUAAAGAAGCGAUGCGAGAGGUUCGUCUCCACCAUGCCCUGCCCCAGGCGCUUCGACCUCCACUGCGAGCACGAGGCGGGCAAGACGGAGCCACCGCCGCCGCAGGCCCACGUCGUCGAGCUCACCGCUCACGACCGCCUCUAUGGAGCCUGUGGCCAGUCAUAGGCCGACCCAAACCUGUGGCCCGCCGUCGUGCAGGUGCGCCAGCACCAUGCCAGGGUGCCCUGUGCUGCUGGAAACCGAGUGAAGCCGGCAGCCGUCGCCAAGGAGGGUGCCGCUGCCACUGCGCCGUAGUCUCUGGCCAGCACAUCCCUGGGGACCCGUCCACCUCCUUCUUUGUCUUCACGGGAGGAGUGUCCCGUCGUGCUCCCACAUGCGCUUGCUGCAGCGUUCGUCAAGACCGAUAAAUAUUUCUAGGCUAUGGGUAAGUAUAUUUGACAAUAACGACGACAUGUUUUAUAGAAUUACUUCGGCCUUAAACAUGCAUAUAAUAAACAUGCAUAUAUUUCUUAGGCAGACACACAUUUACGUGUGGGAGCAGAACAUAUGAGAGCUUUGGUUAUAGUUAGAGUUUUCUUUGUUAACUUCCUUUUCAUGUUUCAAUAUUUAUGAGACCUUUUCUUCACUGUUUCAACUGACAUUUGUGAUAAUAGAUGAGUGGGUUGUGACUAACAUAUGUCGGUGAUUCACAUUGCAUACGAGAAUCUACUUAGGAUCAAAGGUACUUUUUAUCAGCUGAUCAUCGCUUUGACUCCAACUCAAAUAACGCGUGACGCCAUGUGGGAGCAAAGUUGGGAAAAUGGAUAUUGGUGGUGGUCCAGAGGUACUGAAGCAAUUGAAGGACAAAGCACUAAAGAGAGCGGGGCUGACUGAAGAAACAUUGCAAGAGCAGAUUGAGCAGAGAAACGUUGCAAGGAAGAAUAAACAGUUUGAGAUAUCUGAUGGAAUCAGGAAAAACCUUGCUACCAAGGGCAUCGCCCUGAUGGAUGAACCUUCUGGUACAGUGUGGAGACCAUGCGAACCAGAGGGAUCUGAAGAGUCAUGAUUAUACGCCGCACCCACUCAACAAAUGAUGUAUUCUUCACUCAGGGGCAGGGGGGUCUGAAGCUGACCCUUUUCAACUGCAUCUACUGCAUGGAUUAUACAUGGGCGUCGUCGCAGCGAGCAGCC
Zea mays is the source of this 1413-nucleotide RNA transcript. It is a transcript of the gene named cysteine--tRNA ligase pseudogene, with no coding region annotated. The record is from RefSeq and is marked validated. NCBI's taxonomy places the organism in Eukaryota, Viridiplantae, Streptophyta, Magnoliopsida, Poales, Poaceae. The transcript is spliced from 7 exons.